GCACCUCUAGCUCAAUUGGUAGAGCAUCGGACUCUUAAUCCGCAGGUUCUGGGUUCGAGUCCCAGGGGGUGUACCC
This 76-nucleotide transfer RNA is filed under the name Acidimicrobiaceae bacterium. RNAcentral's name for it is "tRNA-Lys". It matches the Rfam family "tRNA". Rfam says of the family: Transfer RNA (tRNA) molecules are approximately 80 nucleotides in length. Their secondary structure includes four short double-helical elements and three loops (D, anti-codon, and T loops). RNAcentral also lists the same sequence under 2 other names. The record is from RNAcentral. Lineage: Bacteria; Bacillati; Actinomycetota; Acidimicrobiia; Acidimicrobiales; Acidimicrobiaceae.